RNAcentral lists this microRNA precursor (91 nucleotides) under Myotis lucifugus (little brown bat). Its description in RNAcentral is "microRNA 1296 (ENSMLUG00000020559.1)". It matches the Rfam family "mir-1296 microRNA precursor family". The record is from RNAcentral. Lineage: Eukaryota; Metazoa; Chordata; Mammalia; Chiroptera; Vespertilionidae.
CCUACCUAACUGGGUUAGGGCCCUGGCUCCAUCUCCUUUAGGAAAACCUUCUGUGGGGAGUGGGGCUUUGACCCUAACCCAGCUGGGUUGU